Molecule: long non-coding RNA, 630 nt
Filed under: Phasianus colchicus (ring-necked pheasant)
Lineage: Eukaryota; Metazoa; Chordata; Aves; Galliformes; Phasianidae
Description: lncRNA (ENSPCLG00000003272.1)
Source: RNAcentral
UUGAAAUAACAUCAGAAUGUUUAACAAAUAUAUUUUUAUACACAAAGAGCUUAUUUAGGUUUGCAAAAAUUAUCAGAACGUGGUAAAGAUUCACUUGGCUUAUAGAAUUUUUCUUUAAAGUCUGAAUACUUUUGGUUCCGCCAUGUAGAAUUCCCAUUACCACUGGCCCUGCUGUCUGAAUUGCUGCAGCACUUGCACCCACACCCAGGUGUAAUGCCCAGCCCACCAACAGCCCACAGCUGGACAGAAUUAGGGUAUUUCUUGAUGGGAGUGCUCCAGACAUUGCUUUCUCCAGUCAUUGCCUUCCUCAUUGAUUAGCGCCUUGCAGUCCUUACCUAUGCUUUCUCUGAAGGUUUUUUUUAAUCUUUGUAUUGUCUUCAAGACCUCUGGCACCACACAUGCAUUGCAGAUACAGCACUGAGACUCCAGCCUCCAGGUGGUACCACAGGACAAAGUAUAAAGGAACCUAUGUCUGCAGGGCACUCUCCAGCCUGACCUCUUAAAUCCAUGGAGCCAGCAGAGCCACCUGCCUCGGUUACAAUGCCACAGAUGUGGAGCAGCACUUCCUCCAGCUCCAGGGAUCACAUCAGUGUAUUCAGACUGAGAGUCAGGACGUAUAUCCCACUAUGA